Long non-coding RNA from Pezoporus flaviventris, 482 nucleotides. RefSeq lists it as uncharacterized. NCBI's taxonomy places the organism in Eukaryota, Metazoa, Chordata, Aves, Psittaciformes, Psittacidae. The transcript has 2 exons. The record is from RefSeq and is a predicted model, not a curated record.
CCUGCUCUGGUGUCACAGCUGACACUGCUUGGAGCAGGAGGUUGAACUAAAGAUCUUCUAAGGUUGCAUCCAACCUGAAUUUCCGAUGGUACGAUCUGUACCAACUCCAUUUAUCCCCCUUCUCUGAGCAAAGUAUGCACAUCUACACUGUUGGAUCACUCAGGUCAUGGGGCUGACUCCAAUGCCCAAGAAAGAAACAGGAGUGGCACGGGAAUCCUUGCAGUCCAGCAGCCAGAAGUGGACAUCUCCCAUCCUAAGCUGGGGUUGAACAUCUUGUUAGCACCUGAGUUAAUGUUUGCAGGGCAGGGGUGGAGCUGUUUGUUGAAGAAUCUGGACCCUGAUUCCCAGAAAAGCCCUGCAGUACGAAUAGUGUGAUCCUGUCCAGAGCUGCCACAACACCAGCAUGAUAAGAUCUGACUGAAUCUGUAAUUUUGUUUAAUGUAGCUGUUGCAACAUAAACCUAACGAGGCUUGAAUACCAGG